RNAcentral lists this non-coding RNA (518 nucleotides) under Pongo abelii (Sumatran orangutan). Lineage: Eukaryota; Metazoa; Chordata; Mammalia; Primates; Hominidae. The record is from RNAcentral.
AGUUGGAGCUGGAACUCAGCUCGCUGACCCCAAGCAGUGUUCCCUUCUUUUCGCCGGGUUUGCAUCCAAGAGAGGGGAGGACAGGGGCAAAAGGAUGCAGGGAGGCUGCUGAUUUCCACUGGAGAGCUAAUUUCCUGUGAGAUAUUAACCGUGAUUUAAGAAAAAAAUUCCUGUAACUGAGACAAUUAGGAAAAAAGUAAACAAAUGGAGCAGGAUUUGGGCAUAACAGCAUGCUCCUCCCAUCCCCCAAAUCCCAGGAGUGUCACUGAGUAAUGUCUUACAAUAACAGAAUGCAGGAGAGCACAUAUCAAUGAAGAAAAGACAAAAUGUAUUUAUCCAUGAAGCUGAGGUUAAGAAACCAGUGUCUUCAAGAGCCGGGGACAGCACUGGGUCUGUGCAGAGUUGAGAGAUGGUGAUGACAUGUGGUUUCCAGCAUUCCUGGCCCAGUCCAGGGACACUGUGGGUGUGCCCAGCUUAAGUCCAGUAACUGGAAAUACAAGCCCAAGUUCUGGAGAGUU